Molecule: transfer RNA, 77 nt
Filed under: bacterium TMED46
Lineage: Bacteria
Also listed under: 1 other name
Description: tRNA-Met
Rfam family: tRNA
About the family: Transfer RNA (tRNA) molecules are approximately 80 nucleotides in length. Their secondary structure includes four short double-helical elements and three loops (D, anti-codon, and T loops).
Source: RNAcentral
CGCGGGGUGGAGCAGUCUGGUAGCUCGUCGGGCUCAUAACCCGAAGGUCGGAGGUUCGAAUCCUUCCCCCGCUACUA